UUGGAUCCAUCUCAUGCUUCCUCUGGUAUGGAUUCCCCGCAUCAAAAGCCUCUAAUAAUUCACCUUGUCUCAUCCACCGACUCACCCGAGUUCACUCUCCUGAAUCGGGCUCUAACUCGAACCUCAGUCAUCGGACUCGACGCUGAGUGGAAACCCAUUCGGAACCCUCACAAAUCAACUUUCCCCACUGUCUCUCUCCUCCAACUCGCUUGCCAACUCAGGCCCCAACUCGGCUCCGACUCCGACGAGUCUCUGGUUUUCCUGCUCGACCUGUCCUUAAUUCCGUUAUCUUCAAUAUGGGAACUGCUGAGGGAGAUUUUUGUUUCUCCAGAUAUACUGAAGUUAGGGUUUAGAUUUAAACAGGAUUUGGUUUUUUUGUCUUCAACUUUCUGCUCGCAAGGCUGUGAUCCUGGGUUUGAUAAGGUGGAACCCUAUUUGGAUAUAACCAGCAUAAACCAUUUUCUGCAACACAAGCACCGGGGAAGGAAGACACCAAAAGAUACCAAGAGUUUGGCAUCUAUCUGCAAUGAUUUAUUGGGGAUUUCUCUUUCAAAGGAACUUCAAUGUAGUGAUUGGUCAUGUCGUCCUCUUACAGAAGAGCAAAAAACAUAUGCAGCAAUUGAUGCGCACUGCUUGCUUGAAAUAUUCAACGUCUUCAAGGCCAAUCUUGUCAAAGAAGGGAAAACUUAUGGCACCAUAAUGGAAUUGCAUUCUUCCAAUAUUAAUCUUGGGUUGAAAGAACUUCUUCAAAAGCAAGAUAUUGGUGAUGCACUCAUUAGAAGCAACUUUCCUGAGGCUUUGAAUAUUGUCCAAGCUACUGUAACUUCUGAGGAUUCUCACAGAGUAGCCAACGGGGAGAAACUAAUUUCAAUGCCAUCAACUAGAAAUACUAUGCCUAUGGAUGAAGUUCUCUUGAAUAUAGUAAGAAAAUAUGGUGAAAAAAUAUUGUUGAAAGCAUCUGAUAGGAAGCCAAAAUCCUCCAAAAAGAAAGGGAAGAAACGCUCCUCCUUAGUUGCAGUUUGCAGGGAAAAACAAUUAGAUGGCAUAGGUGACUGGCAAGGGCCCCCACCAUGGGAUUUGUCCUUAGGUGGUGAUGGAUGGCCCAAGUUCCUAUGUGAUGUUAUGGUUGAAGGCUUGGCAAAACAUUUACGAUGUGUUGGGAUGGAUGCUGCAAUUCCAUAUUCAAAAAAGCCAGAACCCAGAGAAUUGAUAGAUCAGGCAUACAAAGAGCAGAGAGUGCUUUUGACACGCGAUGCCAAGCUAUUGAGACACCAAUACUUGAUAAAGAAUCAAAUAUACAGAGUGAAGAGUCUUCUUAAAAAUGAACAACUUCUUGAGUACAAUGGGACGUUGGAGGUCUACCUUUUCUGCCAAUUUGCUUUGGAAAGCUAAUCCAGGGAUGUUAUAGAGGUGAUUGAAAGUUUCCAAUUAAAAAUUACUGAGGAUAAACUGAUGUCAAGGUGCACUAAAUGCAAUGGGAGAUUUAUUCAAAAGCCACUAACAACGGAAGAGGCUGUUGAAGCUGCAAAGGGCUUUCAGAAAAUUCCUGACUGCUUGUUUAACAAAAAUUUAGAGUUCUGGCAGUGUAUGGAUUGCAACCAACUGUAUUGGGAGGGAACCCAAUACCAGAAUGCAGUUCAGAAGUUCAUUGACAUCUGCAAGUUGAAUGAGUAAAGUUUAAGUUGAUCGUUGAUUGAUGCUUCUGCCCACAGAAGCAGAAUAGGUAAUUUUGUACAACAUAUGUAUCAGAAAUUGUCUAUCUGUUCUACAUUUAUUUCUUGGUUCAAGCAUUACAAUUUAAUGACUGUAUUUUGUGAGGAAAGAAGAUAAAGAGAUAGAAGCCCUGAUACUCUGUUUUAUAUGUAUCUAUCAAUUAAUCUCAGAAGAUUCUAAAUUUCA
This is an RNA transcript of Manihot esculenta (cassava), 1899 nucleotides long. It is a transcript of the gene named exonuclease mut-7 homolog, with no coding region annotated. The record is from RefSeq and is a predicted model, not a curated record. The transcript has 9 exons. Lineage: Eukaryota; Viridiplantae; Streptophyta; Magnoliopsida; Malpighiales; Euphorbiaceae.